CAGUCGCCACGGUAACACAGAGGGUGCGAGCGUUAAUCGGAUUUACUGGGCGUAAAGCGUGUGUAGGCGGCUUCUUAAGUCGGAUGUGAAAUCCCUGAGCUUAACUUAGGAAUUGCAUUCGAUACUGGGAAGCUAGAGUAUGGGAGAGGAUGGUAGAAUUCCAGGUGUAGCGGUGAAAUGCGUAGAGAUCUGGAGGAAUACCGAUGGCGAAGGCAGCCAUCUGACCUAAUACUGACGCUGAGGUACGAAAGCAUGGGGAGCAAACAGGAUUAGAUACCCUGUAGUCCCUGUCUCUUAUACA
Molecule: ribosomal RNA, 301 nt
Filed under: uncultured bacterium
Lineage: Bacteria
Description: partial 16S ribosomal RNA
Rfam family: Bacterial small subunit ribosomal RNA
Source: RNAcentral